AGCGAACGCUGGCGGCAGGCUUAACACAUGCAAGUCGAACGCCCCGCAAGGGGAGUGGCAGACGGGUGAGUAACACGUGGGAACGUACCCUUUGGUUCGGAAUAACUUGGGGAAACUCAAGCUAAUACCGGAUAAGCCCUUAUGGGGAAAGGUUUACUGCCGAGGGAUCGGCCCGCGUCUGAUUAUCUAGUUGGUGAGGUAAUGGCUCACCAAGGCGACGAUCAGUAGCUGGUCUAAGAGGAUGAUCAGCCACACUGGGACUGAGACACGGCCCAGACUCCUACGGGAGGCAGCAGUGGGGAAUAUUGGACAAUGGGGGCAACCCUGAUCCAGCCAUGCCGCGUGAGUGAUGAAGGCCUUAGGGUUGUAAAGCUCUUUUACCCGGGACGAUAAUGACUGUACCGGGAGAAUAAGCCCCGGCUAACUUCGUGCCAGCCGCCGCGGUAA
RNAcentral lists this ribosomal RNA (447 nucleotides) under uncultured bacterium. RNAcentral's name for it is "partial 16S ribosomal RNA". It matches the Rfam family "Bacterial small subunit ribosomal RNA", at positions 29 to 523 of the family's 1533-position model. The record is from RNAcentral.